RNAcentral lists this ribosomal RNA (693 nucleotides) under Salmonella enterica subsp. enterica serovar Indiana. RNAcentral describes it as "partial 23S ribosomal RNA". It matches the Rfam family "Bacterial large subunit ribosomal RNA", at positions 1 to 727 of the family's 2925-position model. Lineage: Bacteria; Pseudomonadati; Pseudomonadota; Gammaproteobacteria; Enterobacterales; Enterobacteriaceae. The record is from RNAcentral.
GGGUUGUGAGGUUAAGCGACUAAGCGUACACGGUGGAUGCCCUGGCAGUCAGAGGCGAUGAAGGGCGUGCUAAUCUGCGAUAAGCGCCGGUAAGGUGAUAUGAACCGUUAUAACCGGCGAUACCCGAAUGGGGAAACCCAGUGUGAUUCGUCACACUAUCAUUAACUGAAUCCAUAGGUUAAUGAGGCGAACCGGGGGAACUGAAACAUCUAAGUACCCCGAGGAAAAGAAAUCAACCGAGAUUCCCCCAGUAGCGGCGAGCGAACGGGGAGGAGCCCAGAGCCUGAAUCAGCAUGUGUGUUAGUGGAAGCGUCUGGAAAGGCGCGCGAUACAGGGUGACAGCCCCGUACACAAAAGCGCAUGUGCUGUGAGCUCGAUGAGUAGGGCGGGACACGUGGUAUCCUGUCUGAAUAUGGGGGGACCAUCCUCCAAGGCUAAAUACUCCUGACUGACCGAUAGUGAACCAGUACCGUGAGGGAAAGGCGAAAAGAACCCCGGCGAGGGGAGUGAAAAAGAACCUGAAACCGUGUACGUACAAGCAGUGGGAGCACCCUUCGGGGUGUGACUGCGUACCUUUUGUAUAAUGGGUCAGCGACUUAUAUUCUGUAGCAAGGUUAACCGAAUAGGGGAGCCGGAGGGAAACCGAGUCUUAAUUGGGCGUUAAGUUGCAGGGUAUAGACCCGAAACCCGGUG